Molecule: ribosomal RNA, 391 nt
Filed under: Eublepharis macularius
Lineage: Eukaryota; Metazoa; Chordata; Lepidosauria; Squamata; Eublepharidae
Description: partial 12S rRNA
Rfam family: Bacterial small subunit ribosomal RNA
Source: RNAcentral
GCUUAGCCAUAAACCUAGGCACAACAUAACAUGCAUGCCCGCCAGAGAACUACAAGUGAAAAACUUAAAACUCAAAGGACUUGACGGUUCCCCAUAUCAGCCUAGAGGAGCCUGUCCUAUAAUCGACGAUCCACGAUAAACCUCACCCUCCCUUGCUUAACCCCAGCCUAUAUACCGCCGUCGCCAGCUCACCUCAUGAGAGAUGUAAAUUGGGCUAAAAGGUCCUACCACAAAAACGUCAGGUCAACGUGUAGCUUAUGGGGGGGGAAGAGAUGGGCUACAUUCUCUAAAUUAGAGAAUUACACAAGGAAAUAUGAAAUUAAAACCAGUAAGGUGGAUUUAGAAGUAAAUUGAACAAGAAAGUUCAGUUGAAUCUUGCUCUGGGGAGUGU